RNAcentral lists this transfer RNA (89 nucleotides) under Climaconeis sp. Its description in RNAcentral is "tRNA-Ser". It matches the Rfam family "tRNA". Rfam says of the family: Transfer RNA (tRNA) molecules are approximately 80 nucleotides in length. Lineage: Eukaryota; Bacillariophyta; Bacillariophyceae; Naviculales; Amphipleuraceae. The record is from RNAcentral.
GGCGAGAUGGCAGAGUUCGGUCGAUUGCGUCUGUCUUGAAAUCAGAUGAAUCUUUGUUGAUUCCGUGGGUUCGAAUCCCACUCUCGCCU